This 59-nucleotide small RNA is filed under the name Sinorhizobium meliloti 2011. RNAcentral describes it as "putative ncRNA". The record is from RNAcentral. Lineage: Bacteria; Pseudomonadati; Pseudomonadota; Alphaproteobacteria; Hyphomicrobiales; Rhizobiaceae.
AGAACAGCGUCGACGGCGGCAAGUGCCAACGGCUUGGCCUGCGGCGCGACCUCGCCAUU